GAUGUACGCUGGCGGCGCGCCUAACACAUGCAAGUCGAACGAUUAAAGCACCUUCGGGUGUGUAUAAAGUGGCGAACGGCUGAGUAACACGUGGGCAACCUGCCCCUUUCAUUGGGAUAGCCACGGGAAACCGUGGAUAAUACCGAAUACUUCGAGACUUCCGCAUGGAAGACUCGAGAAAGCUCCGGCGGAGAGGGAUGGGCCCGCGGCCUGUUAGCUUGUUGGUGGGGUAACGGCCUACCAAGGCAAUGAUGGGUAGCUGGGUUGAGAGACCGACCAGCCAGAUUGGGACUGAGACACGGCCCAGACUCCUACGGGAGGCAGCAGCGGGGAAUCUUGCACAAUGGGCGAAAGCCUGAUGCAGCGACGCCGCGUGCGGGAUGAAGGCCUUCGGGUUGUAAACCGCUUUCAGCAGGGACGAGGCGAAAGUGACGGUACCUGCAGAAGAAGCCCCGGCUAACUACGUG
This 467-nucleotide ribosomal RNA is filed under the name uncultured bacterium. Its description in RNAcentral is "partial 16S ribosomal RNA". It matches the Rfam family "Bacterial small subunit ribosomal RNA", at positions 28 to 507 of the family's 1533-position model. The record is from RNAcentral.